RNAcentral lists this long non-coding RNA (560 nucleotides) under Equus caballus (horse). Its description in RNAcentral is "lncRNA (ENSECAG00000032989.3)". Lineage: Eukaryota; Metazoa; Chordata; Mammalia; Perissodactyla; Equidae. The record is from RNAcentral.
AUUGCAGCUGGUUCAGAGGGGAGCUACAAGAGCAUUCCGCCUUGUGUAAUUGGUCUUCCACCCACUUCUAUGCGUCUGGCAUCACUUUAUUAGCAUAGAUCAUCAAAACGACAAUACAUUGUGUAAAUGUCAAUGACACUUCCUAGAAACUGAGGGUUCGUGGACCGAUGGGAAGCAAAAGCACAAGCCCCUGUCGGGUCAGCGCCAGGCGGAGGGAUUGCAGUGGCGUCAUUGGCUAACUGCCCUCACGAAGUUUGUGCCGACGUGUUGGUGGAGAUAUACUACAGUGAAGAGAAGGGACGGCCAGGGGAGAAUGCAAGUCCCGUGGGGCUGGGCUCUGCGGCCACUGCAGCCAAGAGGACUGACCGUGAGAUAAGUAGUGUUCCCAGGGUAACACCAGAGAGAAGACAGGCAGCCCUCGCCGCUUCACAGCUGGCUCGGCUUCAAACCUGGAGGUUUCUGGAGUGAUGUCCAAGGUACCCACGCAGGCUGCGGGCUCGGAGCAGCAGGUGCAGAGAUACGGGAGUGGCGCACAGCAGAAAUGGCCAGGUCCAAAGGAU